RNAcentral lists this ribosomal RNA (176 nucleotides) under Sphingomonas sp. enrichment culture. RNAcentral describes it as "partial 16S ribosomal RNA". It matches the Rfam family "Bacterial small subunit ribosomal RNA", at positions 337 to 530 of the family's 1533-position model. The record is from RNAcentral. Lineage: Bacteria; Pseudomonadati; Pseudomonadota; Alphaproteobacteria; Sphingomonadales; Sphingomonadaceae.
UCCUACGGGAGGCAGCAGUAGGGAAUAUUGGACAAUGGGCGCAAGCCUGAUCCAGCAAUGCCGCGUGAGUGAUGAAGGCCUUAGGGUUGUAAAGCUCUUUUACCAGAGAUGAUAAUGACAGUAUCUGGGGAAUAAGCCCCGGCUAACUCCGUGCCAGCAGCCGCGGUAAUAAAAAA